AACGAACGCUGGCGGCGUGGAUAAGACAUGCAAGUCGAACGGGACAACAUCUGUAGCAAUACAGAUGUUGUUUAGUGGCGAACGGGUGCGUAACACGUGGGCAAUCUGCCGAAAAGUGGGGGAUAGCUCGCCGAAAGGCGAAUUAAUACCGCAUAUGGUCAGGGAAGACAUCUUCCUGAAUCCAAAGCCGGGGUAACCUGGCGCUUUUUGAGGAGCCCGCGGCCUAUCAGGCAGUUGGUGAGGUAACGGCUCACCAAGGCUAUGACGGGUAGCUGGUCUGAGAGGACGACCAGUCACACUGGAACUGAGACACGGUCCAGACACCUACGGGUGGCAGCAGUCGAGAAUUUUUCUCAAUGGGGGAAACCCUGAAGGAGCGACGCCGCGUGGAGGAU
This 395-nucleotide ribosomal RNA is filed under the name uncultured bacterium. Its description in RNAcentral is "bacterial SSU rRNA". It matches the Rfam family "Bacterial small subunit ribosomal RNA", at positions 29 to 409 of the family's 1533-position model. The record is from RNAcentral.